UGGGGAAUUUUGGACAAUGGGCGCAAGCCUGAUCCAGCCAUGCCGCGUGCGGGAAGAAGGCCUUCGGGUUGUGAAACCGCUUUUGUCAUGGGAAGAGAUCUUCUGAGUUAAUACCUCGGGAGGAUGACGGUACCUGAAGAAUAAGCACCGGCUAACUACGUGCCAGCAGCCGCGGUAAUACGUAGGGUGCAAGCGUUAAUCGGAAUUACUGGGCGUAAAGCGUGCGCAGGCGGUUUUGUAAGACAGAGGUGAAAUCCCCGGGCUCAACCUGGGAACUGCCUUUGUGACUGCAAGGCUUGAGUGCGGCAGAGGGGGAUGGAAUUCCGCGUGUAGCAGUGAAAUGCGUAGAUAUGCGGAGGAGCACCGAUGGCGAAGGCAAUCCCCUGGGCCUGCACUGACGCUCAUGCACGAAAGCGUGGGGAGCAAACAGGAUUAGAUAGCCCUGGUAGUCCACGCCCUAAACGAUGUCAACUGGUUGUUGGGAAGGUUCCUUCUCAGUAACGUAGCUAACGCGUGAAGUUGACCGCCUGGGGAGUACGGCCGCAAGGUUGAAACUCAAAUGAAUUGACGGGGUCAUAGCUGUUUCC
RNAcentral lists this ribosomal RNA (587 nucleotides) under uncultured bacterium. RNAcentral's name for it is "partial 16S ribosomal RNA". It matches the Rfam family "Bacterial small subunit ribosomal RNA", at positions 355 to 937 of the family's 1533-position model. The record is from RNAcentral.